UACGGAGGACCGGCGCGUUAUCCGGAAUCAUUGGGUUUAAAGGGUCCGUAGGCGGGACAUUAAGUCAGGGGUGAAAUGUUGCAGCUCAACUGCAGAAUGGCCUUUGAUACUGGUGUUCUUGAGUUAUGUUGCUGUGGUCGGAACAUGUGGUGUAGCGGUGAAAUGCAUAGAUAUCACAUAGAACGCCGAUUGCGAAGGCAGGGCACAAAGCAUAUACUGACGCUGAGGGACGAAAGCGUGGGGAGCGAACGGG
RNAcentral lists this ribosomal RNA (253 nucleotides) under uncultured bacterium. RNAcentral's name for it is "partial 16S ribosomal RNA". It matches the Rfam family "Bacterial small subunit ribosomal RNA", at positions 524 to 776 of the family's 1533-position model. The record is from RNAcentral.